RNAcentral lists this ribosomal RNA (494 nucleotides) under uncultured Eubacteriales bacterium. RNAcentral describes it as "bacterial SSU rRNA". It matches the Rfam family "Bacterial small subunit ribosomal RNA", at positions 28 to 523 of the family's 1533-position model. Lineage: Bacteria; Bacillati; Bacillota; Clostridia; Eubacteriales. The record is from RNAcentral.
GAUAAACGCUGGCGGCGUGCAUAACACAUGCAAGUCGAACGAUGAAACUUAAAUGAUCUCUUCGGAGUGACUUUAAGUGGAUUAGUGGCGGACGGGUGAGUAACGCGUGAGUAACCUGCCUUGCACAAGGGGAUAGCCGUUGGAAACGACGAAUAAUACCCUAUGAUAUGAUAGUCUCGCAUGAAGCUAUCAUCAAAGAUUUAUCGGUGUAAGAUGGACUCGCGUCUGAUUAGCUAGUUGGUGGGGUAAAAGCUCACCAAGGCAACGAUCAGUAGCCGGCUUGAGAGAGUGUACGGCCACAUUGGGACUGAGACACGGCCCAGACUCCUACGGGAGGCAGCAGUGGGGAAUUUUGCACAAUGGGGGAAACCCUGAUGCAGCGACGCCGCGUGAGCGAAGAAGGCCUUCGGGUCGUAAAGCUCUUUUAUGAGGGAAGAUAAUGACGGUACCUCAAGAAAAGGCCCCGGCUAACUACGUGCCAGCCGCCGCGGUAA